This is a long non-coding RNA of Homo sapiens (human), 10321 nucleotides long. RefSeq annotates it as KIF5C antisense RNA 1. The transcript is spliced from 4 exons. NCBI's taxonomy places the organism in Eukaryota, Metazoa, Chordata, Mammalia, Primates, Hominidae. The record is from RefSeq and is a predicted model, not a curated record.
GUUUUAUAUAUAUUAUUUUAUAUAUAUUAAGUAUUUUAGAAUAGAAUUUAUAAAAGUAAGGUGUUAGAAUAACCUAACGCCCAUCAGUUCAUACUUAUUCUUGGGGAGAGGAGAGGGGAUAAGGAGCAUUUCUACUUUCCAAAUCUUAACUUCCUGAAUUUUUUUAAAUCAACCUAAAAUGUUUAUAUAAUAUUUGGAAUAAAAAUGAAAGAAAAUUAAAGAAAAAAAGUAAAAAGAAACUACUGAACACUUGUGAUUACUUUUAUACUUCCUUUAAUCUUCCCUCCCACCCUAUAUAUAUAUAUAUAUAUUGUACUAAACUUAUUUGAAAUGUAAGCUUUGGCUGAAAAUAACUUGCCCUCUUUUGAAAUGAAAAUAAUUGCUACAGGGUUGUAAUAAUAAUUCAAUCACUGGUUAUAGCCUGGUUAUAAGGAAAACACCAGGAAACAGACAUCCAAGGAAGGAAGUCUCUUAUUUCUUUUCAUUUCAAGGCAAUUUAGGUAAAUUACAGACAUUUCCCUUUCAGAGCUGAGGACUAUCAAUAGAAUUUUAAGUGUGGUCCAUUUAUACUAAUGUCUUCAAUUUAGAACUUCUUGGACCUUACUUUCUUUAUGAUGCCAGCUUUUAGUUCACAUUAAAAUAAUUUUAUGACUAGCAAGUUGCAAAAAGAGAAAAGUGUUUUGUACAUGUGGCUUCUAUAUUUUGGUAGAAGGAGAAAUCAUUUCAAGGCAAUCAUUUUCUGUACUUAGUGAAUCUCUAAUUUCUUUCCUUUUGGCACUGCCAACUGGAUAACUAGAUAGAAGAUAAUGGAGUUUGGAUAUUCAAUACAAAACUAUUUUCAUUCUGUGGAAAAUGAAACCACUUUGCAAACUACUAUGAAACCACUGCAAAACCACUUUGCCCCACCCUUAAAGGUGUUUCAUGCUCCAUAAUCCUUUAGUACUAUUCAAUCACUUGUCAGUGGUACUGUAUUCCCAGUGUGUGUAUGUGUGUGUGGUGGGGUGUGUGUGUGUGCACUUCUAUCCAUCUGUCUCCUCUACUAAACAGUGAGUUGCUUGAAGGUAAGAUAAAUGAAUUGUGCUCCCCUAAGAAAUGCCUGCAUUUGCAGUUUGGUCCAAAGACGGUGAAUUGCACAAAAGCAAUAUGUAGGCAGCUUCUUUAGUCCUCAGGUGGAAGCGAUAAUGGGAUGUAGGGAGGUAAUGAGACUAAAAAUAAUCAUGAAAAUGAGAAUGUAAGUGCCACAAGAAAUAUUCAUUCAUUCAUUCAUUCAUUCAUUUUAUCAUGUAUUAUGUGUACCCAUUCGGAAUCAUGUGUUGAGAAUAUGAAAAUAAAUCAAGCAAACCCUGACCUGAGAGGAGCUCACACUCCAAGUGGGAUAAUUCCAAGAAGGAAGUGACUAAAGAGAAAUGGAAAUACCUCACUGUGAGUUUCUAGGGUGAGAACAAAUUUACAGCCACAGAUAGAUGGGAAUGGCACUCGAAGAAGAGGGAACCUCAUCAAUAAAGGCUUGGACGAGUGAACGUGCAGACUGAGUUUAGGACACAAUGGAUAGUUAGGUUUGAGAAAGGCAGAGUCCUGAAGUGAAGUACAGUCAUCAAGGCAAAAGGCUAAAGGGAACAUAGUGUGGAGGGGUUUGCUGAAUCACAGAAACCAAGUUGGGGAGUUCAAACUUAUUUUAGUGAGCAAAAGAAAAGCCUUACAUGUUUUUGAGCAGAGAAUUGGCAUAAAUCUGAGUGGCACUUUGGAAAGAAGAGUUUAGCAACAGUGUUCAAAAGAGACCAAAGAGUAGAAAGGAAACAGGGAAUUGUAUUCCAAGACUACUGCAAUUCAAGCAAGAGCCAGUCAAGGUCUUCAGGAUCCAUUUGUGAUUAAAAACAAAACAAGCCAGGUAUAGACUGUACUUUCUUAUCUUGACAAUAAAUAUCUACUAAAAACGUAAAGCAAACCUUGUUCUAAGAUUAAGAACGAGACAAGGGUUCUAAGUAUCACUGAUUUUAUUUUAAACUGUCCUGCAGGUCCAAUCCAAUGCAAUAAGAUAAGAAAAAAGAAAGUAAAAGUCUACAUCUGGAAAGAAGGAAACAAAACUGUCAUUAUUUGAAGAAGAAAAAAUUAUCUUCAUGAUAUAUCUUUCAAAAUCUACUGAAAAUUUUUUAGAAGACAGUUUAGCAGUGUGGCUGAAUGAGCAGAUGGACUUAGAAAUCUAAGAAGCAGACAUAAAUCUCUCCAUUUUUAAGACAGAGAAGAAUAGAGAUUAAAUAAAGGUUUUUACAAGAAAAGCAUCAUAAUCCUUUCUCUGUGGACAGGUCCAUGUGGAUUAAUAGUACAUCUAAACAUUCAUAAGUGUAGCCUAAGAGGUUUCCAAGUAAAUGCACCACACCCUGAGAGGAAUGGCACUGCAUUCUAUGGAAGGUCCUAAACAGCCUUUCAGAUGGAAAUCACAGCAUGACAGAGAAGCCAAUUGGGACUUCAUACAUAAUUUGAGAUGAAUGCAAGGGCAAGCAACAGAGAUGGAAAAAAUUCUUCCACUUUUAAGUAUAGCCCAGGUUUACAGCUCUCUUCUCCUAUAGUCGUUCCCAAACUUACGUCUCAGUCUAAUCGGUUGCUAAUGGGAACAACAAAGCUAGGUAUGCUUAUUCCAUUUACUGCAGGAUUGCUGAUUCAAAGAGGCAGCCUCCAAGAGGCAGAGAAUGAGAGCAACACUUAUCACAUUUGAUUGACAUCAAAUCCUUUUAUCAGGUAAUAUCUCAAAGAACUAGUGCCUCGGAGAAAUUCUAGUUUAGAAAAUGCUGUGCACUCAAACAUUCUCAAUUCCUGGUAUGAACCAAAAUUUAGGUGCAACAUAGCAAAUGGUUAAAAGCAAGGAUGCUGGAGCCCACUAUGCUGGAUCCACAACUUACUCUUCUGUGACCUUCAGCAACUUGCUUAACCUCUCUAUGCCCAAGUUUCCUCAUUUGCAGAAUGGCAAGAGGGAAAAUGACAAGAGCAGUUACCUCAUAGGGUCAUACUGAAGAUUAAAAUGAAUGAUGCAGUGGCUCAUGCCUAUAAUCCCAGCACUUUGGGAGGCCAAGAGGGAUGGAUCACCUGAGAUCAGGAGUUUGAGACCAGCCUGACCAACAUGGUGAAACCCCACCUCUACUAAAAAUACAAAAAUUAGCCAGGCAUGGUGGUGCAUGCCUGUAAUCCCAGCUACUUCGGAGGCUGAGGCAGGAAAAUCGCUUGAACCUGGGAGGUGGAGGUUGCAGUGAGCAGAGAUCACGCCAUUGCACUCCAGCCUGGGCAACAAGAGUGAGACUCUGUCUCAAAAAAACAAAAAAUAAAUACAAAAUAAAAAUAAAAUGAAUGAUUUCAUAUAUGUAAAGCACUUAUUUAAGUGUUGUCACUACACUGUUAGAAUUACAAUAUUUCACAAGCGAGGAAGAAUAUGACUUUGUUGGUGUAAGAAGAAAAUUGCUCUGCAUGAAAUAGGCCCAUAAAGGUCUGUGAGAAGAGCAGUAAUACAUACAUUGUCUGCAGUUCUGCUAAUCAAGACAUUCGACUAAUUGAUAUUUAUAGUGCACACAUUAAUGCCUAGAUUUGUGUCUGGUUUGAGGUGACGUGAAUAGGAAAAAAAUAAUAAUAAAAAAAAAAAGAAGAAGCAAUCCUUAGCCUUAAAAAGGUUGGAGGAUUUUCUCUAAAUAUGGUCCUCCUAAGUAUCCACGUUGAAAAGCACCUUUUCUCCAACUUUCCAUAUUCACUUUCCUGAAUAAAUUACAUCUUCUGGAAGGAAAUUUAGUGCUAAAGGAAUUUUGCCAAUAUUAAGCCAUUUAUAGGAUUGUUUUCUACCACCUCUUCCCUCAAAAUGAUAAGCAAGUUCAACAGACAUGAAACUACUACUGUACACUCAGGAGACUCUGAAAUAUGCAAUAUCCCAAAUGGGACCCACAAUGCAAAAUUCUUCCAGGGAACAUCUAUACCAACAGAAAAAUGCCUUAAAUUACUUUAUUAUACUUUACUUUUAAAAUGUGGCUUAAUUUAUGCAUACUUCAUUAUAUAUCAAUUCCUUGAAAUCUGGUGAUCUAUAUAUAUAAUAUAUAUGAUAACCAGUAGCCAGAACAAUGUCAUCCUCCAACUAUUAAUUAAAUAAGAUAUUCAUAUAUUUAUCCUUUUGGAUGCUAAGUCAAGAACACGUAACAGUUGAAACUCAUUUGGGCUACCAGCCAUAAAACUGUGAAAUGCAAACUUCAACAGUACCCGUCCUCAUGGGAACCUGAAAAGGGUUAUUUGAGGUCAAAAGACACAACAUUUAAGGAGAAAUGUCUCAUGGGAGUAUUUCUGAUCCAGCUAUAGGAUAGAGUGGAAUACCAACUCAACUAAAUCAAAUUUCAAUUCCUCUAGCCCUCUUUCAAGCCCCUCCACAUCCAAUCCCCUCCUUUCUAGCAACCUUGCUCUCUCCUCUAUACUCAGGCCUCUCAAAAGUGGCUCACAUGCUUCCUUGUCCUUUCACACAAAGUGAUCACUGCUCUUUUUUUUGUUUAGAGUCAGGGUCUUGCUCUGUUGCCCAGGCUGGAGUGCAGUGGUGCAAUCAUAGCUACCUGCAGCCUCCAAUUCCUGGGCUCAAGUGAUCUUCCUGCUUCAGCCUCCCAAGCAGAUGGCACUACAGGUACACACGACCAUACCUGGCUAAUUUUUAAAAAUAUUCUGUAGAGGCAGGGUCUUGCUAUCUUUCCCAGGCUGGAACAGUGAUCAUCUUGAAUACCUUUUCUCCCCUGUAGAAACUGUUAUUCCAUCUUUCCUUUUUUCUUUGUGCCUUGUGUGUUCUUUAAGUUGUAUGCAAAAAGUGUCUCUAUUUAAACAUUUUAAAAGUUAUUAUUUAUAGCUUAUAAAUAGGUAUAACAGCAGUAUAGGUAAAUUUUUCACAAACCAGUUAGUUUCUUAAGUAAAUGGUACUCAACAUGAUAGUUAAGGCACCAAAAAGGACCUCUGUAUUUGAGUGACUAAACCUACGCAAUAAAGAGCAGCAUUUUGUACUCAAAAUAAAUUUUGUAGAAAAGGAAACAUGCUGUGUCUUCUAAAGUAAGACAACAAACACACCCAGAAAGGGGGCCCACAGCAUUCCUUUCCUCUCUUUUUCCACCGUAAUUUCCUCCUCAUAUUGCUUUUCCUUUUGUUUACCUUACUCAGGUUCUCCUGUCCCAGCCCCUGGGCUUGCCAGUGAUGCCCAGAGGAUGAUGUGCCUGGUGGCUGAGCUCUUCCAGAACUAAAGACGUGCGGAUCCCUGAGUAUCCAUAACCAUCAAAGCAUGAAGUAAUGCCUUGUAAGUGGUGUCACCACACCUCCCAGAAGAAGGAUGGAUUCCUACCAGAAGCAGUCAAACAUAGUGCCGGAUCAUCUAAGUGAAACGGAUCCCCAUGGGUGCUGCUAUUGGGAUACCAAAGGUCUGAAGUUCAUCCAAUGCAAUAGCAGAAAUAAUUACAUCUGUGAGCAUGUGAGAAGAACCCUGAGUUAGUCCCAAGUGCAAAUCACCAUCUCCAACCAAUUCCUCCACCAAUUGAUGGAUGUUGGGGAGUGGGGUACAGCAACCCCUCCAAGUCCUUCCUCCCUCUAUAUAGCCCAGGAGACUCCCCUCCCACCAGCCUGGCCCCCAGAGUGCUGACUGGCAACAAUAUUCCAAGUUAAAAUAGUUUGCUAAAUAGUUAUACAAUUAGUUUACAAUUCAAAUAUAUCAGAGGAAAAGACAGGGAAAAAAAUUCUAAGAUACAUGAAUCCCAGACCAUUGCUCUCCAAAUAUUUUCAAGUGAUUCAUCUCCUUUAUUUAAAAAAUGAAUUAACCACCAGAUGGGACACUCAUACAUUCCUGAUGGUUGUAGGAAUCAGUAGACCCUGUAUGGAAAGCAAUAGGAUAAUAUUUCAUAGGAUCAAAUUAAAAUGUUCACAGCAUUGGUUCCAGGAAAUUGGCUUCUGGAGAAUUUAUACUCCAGAAACAAUUCAACAAAAGAACACAGCUCUGUGCAUGCAGAUGCUCAUUAGCCCAUCACCUAGAGUAAGGGAAAGUGGAGAUCCCAAUGAACAACAAUGAGAUGGGUUAGCGAACUGUGACCUAUCAGCCCAAUGGACAUUUAAGCAAUCACUGAAAAGUAGAAACAUGAAGAUAUUACACAACAUGGAAACUGUUUAUGGAGUAUAUUUAGGUAAAAAGGAAAAAAAGGCAGAACUGUAUAUCUGUGGUUGGAUAUACUUUUUUUUUUUUAAUAUUAAGCACCAACCAAAAGAAGAAAGGAGGAUAGAAAAAAUAAAAUGGAAGAUGUAGGGUGGGCAGAUUAGGGCUGCGUUUGUUGCUUGCUUUCAUGUUACCAUCAUAGCGUUUUUGCCACUUACAAAGGAGGAAAAAAAUCAAUUCUGUGCCAACCCAGACAACAGAGACCUGAGUGGGGGUUGGGAAGAGAGAUUUUUCAGCACAGAAUCAGACUCCUUCUCCAAAGAGCUGUGUGGCCUUCACCUGCAAGGCGACCUCUUCCACAAGCAGAGGCCAGGACAAAAAGAGGCACCUGUGAGCGACAAAGACGGUUUCCUUGGUUUCCCUCACGGCGCCAAGCGGAGUGGCCGCCUCCCACCACAGGGCCCCCUAAUGGGCGCUUUUGUCCUGCGGGGCAGAGGGACCUCAUUAGAAGGCGCUGGUGCUAAAGGGAAAUGCAUUUCCAGAACAGGAGGUUUCAUCAUUCCUAGCGUUAGCGACAGAAUGGUGACAGAAGCUCUGUGGACGUAUUUUCCAGCGUUCAGUUCACAUCAAGGAUGGGUAUGCACUGGCGGAAAAGGUCAGCUCGCAGAAUGAUCGCCCAUCCACACAGCGUUUGGAGGUCAGACGUUCCUGAUGACUGUGAAAAUGGGGAGGUGAGAAGAGGUCGUCAAAGGGAGCAGCCUUUUAAAGCCAGGUACAGGUUAAAGCCCUGAGGCCAGAGCCUUGCCCAGGCUCCUCUAGCGUGGAGAGCUCCCGCCUUACGGUACAGCUGGCACCUGCUGGUCCCCAGGGCCCUUCGCUGCGACUGCGGCAGACAACCUUGGCAAAGAUGCUGGGGACCGCCCGGGCUGGAAAACGUCGGCCUCUGGCGCUUGAGAAAGGCCAGGCGGACUCCUGCAAUACCCUCGGGUCGUGAGAAGAAGAGGCAAGGCGUUUGGUAAAUCGAAUUGAUUGAUGCCCAGAAGCAUUUGCGGGUUGCAGAGCUCACACUUUAAAGGGGGCCUGGGCACCCGGCUUGAGGGUCACCCGAACACACUACCCACGCGGCGAGGCGAGCGUGGGGAACAAUGGGCCCACCCGGGCCCCCACCCGGCGAACAAUGGCGGCGCCGAGCCCGUCUUCGCCCCCCAUCCCCACCCCCGCCACCCCCGCCCGGCCCGCCGCUCCCGGCCGCCUCUCCACCCGCCCGGGAGGGAACCAUAGUGCGCGGGGCGAGGGGUCUCUGGUCAGGUCCACCCGAGAGGCCAGCCCCGCGGGAAUGUCCGAGGGGGCGGCCUAAACACCUCCGCUGCGUCUGGGGCGUCGGGGCGCCCAGCUGCGGCGCGGAGCAGCAGGGAAGGCAGACGCCCCAGCCACUUACCCCGAUCACCACGGUCUCAUCGCCUUUAAAUUUGGGGAUGAAUUUGUCCCCGCGGAGGAUCUCCGCUUCGUUGAGGGGCCGGAACCGGCACAUCACUUUGAUGCUGCAUUCGGCUGGAUCCGCCAUCUCGGCCGGCGGUAGGGAGGGGGCACGGGGAUGGGUGGGGGGCCGGGGCCGGGAACGACGAGGGAGGAGGCCGCGAGCUGCACCGCCCACAGCUAGGCCGCCUCCUGCAGCCUCCGACGACGCUUCUCAGCAGGUCAUCGCGAGCCCGGCCGGCUGAGCAGCCCCGGCCGCUCCGAGCCCGGGAAGGUGGGCAGCUUCUCCGCUCCGGCCCCUCCGGCUGCAGACCGGCCUGCCCUGGCCCUGCCCCGCCCCUGCCCAGCGCCCCCCGGCCCACCUGCCCGCGACCACGCGGCGGGCGGAGGAGGCGAUGCGCAGGGAGCGAGCCUCGCCCGGCUCAGACCUCCCGGGCUCCUGCGCGCUCAGCCAUCCUGCAUCAGCACCAGCGCGCUCUGCCGCCUUGAGACCCGCCCCUCCGCCCCGCCCUCCCCUGGCCCGCCCCGGGACGGUGACGUCACCGUAGAGGUCCGCCCGGCCCCCGCCCGACUCCGAGCGCUGCGCAUCCCGGGACUUGUAGUCACUCUACCUGCCGGGGGAAGGACAGGAUGCGACCUCCAAGAGCCUGCAAGUCCGGUCUGGCUGCCCAAGCCGGAACCGGAUGGAGGUCAUAUCCAAUAUUUCCGGUUAAAAUCUCUAGAUAACUGGGUCUGGAUCAUCCUGAUCCCAAAAGAAAAUCACUUGGGAAACAGCUCCCAAUAGCCCCUGGGUUUCAUCCUUCAACUUCUACCACUAGAUAAGGAUGGAUGUCUGUUCAGAGUUUGGGUUUGAUUGGCCUUGGUUUAGGUUGGCAUCUAGUGCUAAACCAAUCAACCAGAAUCAGGGAUUUUGUAAGAUUAUGGAGGAAUCCCUUGGUGGGAAGGUUCCCAAAAGAAGAGGGAUGGUAUUCCCAGACAUGGUGCCGGGCUGGCAGAACAACUGAGUGUCCACUCUAUUUUUCCAGAACUUCCUUUUCCUCUAAGACCUAGCUCAACCCUCCUUCCUCAGACUUUCCCAGCUCACUAAACACCUAUAAAGAGUUGGUGGCCCUCCUUGAUGUUCCCCUAAUCUGCUGUGCCUGUCUCUAGCACUGCACUUGGGUGGUGAUAUCUGCUUGAUAUCUUUGUGUCUGUAGCAUCUAGCACAUAGUGGGCAGCAUACUGAAUAAGGAUUCUACCCUAGGAAGAAGCAAUGCAUGAGUGUGAAUCCCACCUCAGCCACUUAUUAGAUGUAUGACCAACAGGCGGAGGAAAUUAAGAGCGGAGGAAAUUAAGAAGUCUUAAUUUCCUUAAGACUCAGUUUCCUCAUCUCUGUCAUUGGAAUAAUAUCAUCUUGUGAUUUCUGGGGGAAUUAAAAGACAGAUGCUUUUAAAGCACCUAGCACGGUGCCUGACAUGUAUAUAGGAUAAGCUCUUGAAAGUUAGAUGUUAUUGGGUGCUGAACAAAUGAUCAUAAAACAAAUAAGUUAGUUAAUUUUAGGAACACAUCUGUUGCUUAAAUUCGGGUAAUACCUGAAAAUACAAGUGUUCUCUGCCUAGCUGAGAGGACAGACCUACUAAAAUCAACUUUUAUAAACCCUUGUAAGUAGUACCAGUUCUAUUUCAUCUCCUCAUGUGCAGUGGAAGUAGAUUAAAAAGACCCAGGUGCCACCUUCUCAUCUGUUUUUAAAUUAAGUAAUUCUCAGGCUCUGGCUCAGAGACCCAUCAUCUUAAAUGAUCAACUUCAUAAUAUACUAGAGAGGACAAUCCAAUUCUCAGUUUCCCUGAGCCCACCAGAAGAUGCCCAGAACCUUGCAUACACUGGUUUAUCUGAGGAGGUCAGGAUUAUCUCAAGUGGACAGAGACGUAUCUGUGUGUCACUGUGUUCAGUCAUCAUUCAUUCGUUCAUCUGUUCAUUCAUCAGCUAUUAACUGAGCAAAUGGCAUUUGCUGUCACUCUGUAAACUUAGAUUUAUUAAGUGAACCCUUUUCAAGGGAGAUAACGUAGGGCCUCUCAUUUGAAGGGAGGUUGCAAAAUAAGUCAUCGCCCUCAGGCAGCUUAGAAACUAGUGGGAGUACAGAGGAUGAAGUUCUCAGUGUUGUCUGAGAAGGCUUAAUAUAGGAAAUGGGCUAAGUAGGAUUCAAAACAAUUGAAAAGGGACACCAAAAGAUAGGUAACAGGCCGGGCGCCGUGGCUCACGCAUGUUAAUCCCAGCACUUUGGGAGGCUGAGAUGGGUGGAUCACUUGAGGUCAGGAGUUUGAGACCAGCCUGACCAACCUGGUGAAACCUGGUCUCUACUAAGAAUACAAAAAUUAGCCAGGCAUGGUGGCACGUGCCUGUAAUUCCAGCUAAUCUGGCGACUGAGGCAGAAGAAUCGCUUGAACCCAGGAGGCAGAGAUUGCAGUGAGCCAGGAUUGUGCCUCUGCACUCCAACCUGGGCGACAGAGUGAGUCUCCAUCUCAGGGAAAAAAAAAAAAAAGAUAGGUAACAGAAGAAAAAACAGAUAAAUUUAACUACAUCAAAAUUAAAACUUUUGCACAUCAAAGGAUGCUAUGAACAGAGUGAGAAGGCAGCUCAUGAAAUGGGAAAAAAUUUGCAAAUAAUACAUCUGAUAAGGAGUUAAUAUACAGAAUAUAUAAAGAAUACCUAUAACUCACAACCAAAAAAAAA